This 512-nucleotide ribosomal RNA is filed under the name uncultured bacterium. Its description in RNAcentral is "partial 16S ribosomal RNA". It matches the Rfam family "Bacterial small subunit ribosomal RNA", at positions 28 to 507 of the family's 1533-position model. The record is from RNAcentral.
GAUGAACGCUGGCGGCGUGCCUAAUACAUGCAAGUCGAACGAAACUUCUUUAUCACCGAGUGCUUGCACUCACCGAUAAAGAGUUGAGUGGCGAACGGGUGAGUAACACGUGGGCAACCUGCCCAAAAGAGGGGGAUAACACUUGGAAACAGGUGCUAAUACCGCAUAACCAUAGUUACCGCAUGGUAACUAUGUAAAAGGUGGCUAUACUACCGCUUUUGGAUGGGCCCGCGGCGCAUUAGCUAGUUGGUAGGGUAAAGGCUUACCAAGGCAAUGAUGCGUAGCCGAAUUGAGAGGGUGAUCGGCCACAUUGGGACUGAGACACGGCCCAAACUCCUACGGGAGGCAGCAGUAGGGAAUCUUCCACAAUGGGCGAAAGCCUGAUGGAGCAACGCCGCGUGGGUGAAGAAGGUCUUCGGAUCGUAAAACCCUGUUGUUAGAGAAGAAAGUGCGUGAGAGUAACUGUUCAUGUUUCGACGGUAUCUAACCAGAAAGCCACGGCUAACUACGUG